This is a small nucleolar RNA of Fukomys damarensis (Damara mole-rat), 109 nucleotides long. The record is from Ensembl. NCBI's taxonomy places the organism in Eukaryota, Metazoa, Chordata, Mammalia, Rodentia, Bathyergidae.
GGCACUAGUAUGUGGUCAAAGAUUUAUAGACAGGUGCAAAAAAUAAAUCCUCUUUUGCAACUCAAAAUACAUUGUUCAGUAUGUUUUAAUACAUUUAAAAAGGAAUAUU